AUGUCAACUUACCAAGAUAACACGGACCACCCAUUACACUUUUUGGGAUUCCCUGCCAGGCCCUGUCACCACAUAUCAAAAAGACGUCUGGUGGCAAGGCCUUUGGGGUACCAUUGUUCCAAAUUAAGUGCCCCCUUUUGGCCUCAGCCCCAAGGGCUCCCAGCCCCUGGCGGCUGGUGCCAUUGGUGCCACAGAAAAAAAAAAAGUGAAAUGCAUAUUUUCCAUUUGUUCCCAGUUAAAUAUGGCAAAUGUUCUGGCCCCAUAAUAUACAGGAAUGUUUCAAUUAUAAGUUAGAAAUAAUGUGUAUGUUACACCCAUGCACAUACAUAUGCUUUCAUACAUACUUACCUGUUGAGAAAUGAUAAAAUAGUUUAUUCUUCCUUUUUAAUAUUUACUAUUGAAAUUGUUGCUUUUUGCAAUGAAAUUUUAGUUGUAGUUCUCAAUUCCAAGUGUAAGUAUUCAAUAGGUGCACAUUUUGUUUACAGAGUCUUAAGUUAACGUUAAAUGUUGUCAAAAAUCCUCAGUUUUAUCAAGCAUUAAAAAAUAUACUUCCAAGUGACAAAAACUUCCCUUUGAAGUUACAUCACAGUUUAUAACUUUUGCAAAGUACUCUCACAGCUUUCUGAAAAAAAUCCCAUACAGUAGCAGAUGGAAAUACAGAAAAAGGUUUAUAAGUCAGGGUUAUGAGUGGUUCAGUGAUUUCAAUGUUAGCUAAAGGACAAAAAGAAAAAAAUGUCUAAGAGUGUAAGAGGAUAAUACAAUCCAGACAACAAAUUUAACUCUGUUACAGAUACAGAGCCAUCUCCAAAGUCAUUAACACAGUUGCCUGAGGUGUCUGCCAAGGAGCCAGAUGUCACUCUUCCAUAACUUAGCGUCUGAUGAUUGCCAUUUAAUCUGAAGGAGAAGGAAGCAUUGUGCUUAGAUGCAACAAAUAUAACGCCUAACCUCAGUGGGAUUUUCAGUUUGUUUUAUAAAAUCAUAAAAUGUGAAUUUACAAGGCCACCUAUAGUGCUCAGGGCAUCUACUUGCAUUCUGUCCAACUGACAACAUUAUUUUUUGGAGAACACUUUGCAACCAUUCAGAGAUUUUAAGCUCAGAAGAAAUGGGUAUGAUCAUUUGAUUUGAUCACCUUCAUAACACAGGCUACUGAACGUAAAUGAUUAAUUCCUUCGCUGAAGGGAAAGGUUGUUAUUAGCUAUACAAAAUGAGAAGAACAAAACAGUUAUAUGAAAUAUUUUUGUAUAAAUAUCAUGUACAAGUAAGAAUAUUUUUUGCAAUAUUCUCAUGCUUUAAUGAACAGAAUUAAAACAGAUUGGUUUUAAAAGUACCAGGAAGAAAAAAAAGCAAAAAAAUUGUUGUGAUAGGAUUUCUCAGAGAAAAUACUUUAUAGGAGAACCCUUAGUAGACUUUAAACAGACUAAGGAAAACUUUGCUAAGCAUAAACCUAGGAUUUAAUAAGAGAUGUUAAACUUUUAUGACCUCAGCCCUAGAAAGGAGAAAAGAUCUCUGUGAGUGAAGGAGGAACUGCUCAGGAAAUAUCAGAAAGAUCUCACAGACAUGAAACAAUAGCUGACUCUACAUGACCAAAUACAAAAAAAACCCUCCCCAGUUUAUUCUUGGGUCCUGAUGCCUUGACAUUAUAUGCCACAUUUAAGAUAUUUUAUUUUUAACCUCUGUUGAGCAAACCAGCUUUGUUUUUCUGACACACAAUGCAAGUGUGACUCUAGGGCUUUGCUCUAGGUACUGCUCCCUUUAGGUUAUUAGACAAAAUUUGUACCCCCUUUGGUUCUCUUGUAUCCAUAGACUUUUAUCCAUAGACUCAUCCCAAAAGCAUUCAGCAUACACUCUUGGGGACAUGCUAUAACACCCCCAAACUGACAGACUGUGACAAAAGCCUUCUAUUAUUCAUUCAAUAAGAAUGAACUUAGGGCAUUGCUACCUUAAGUUACCAGACUUUUUUGUAACUGUGCAGGUCUUGAGGCAUCUGAGAGGAAAUAGGAUCUUGAUGCUUUAGAUUCCAAAAUCAAAAGCUAGUCUCCAAAUUGACCGUAACAUUAAUCAAAAAUAGGUAACCAACUCCAAUACAAAAAGAGAGAAAAAGAUAUUGACUCUAGCUUUUUUCUCAACUCUGCAGACUCAGCAGCAUUCAACAAUAAGCUGGUCUUACAACACUUUAAAUUUCAAAAGACAUUUUCUUUUCUCCCUAACUUUGAGGGCACAGCAGUAUCCAGAAUAAACUGGGAUCCUGAAGCCCUAGAUUCCCA
This 2264-nucleotide long non-coding RNA is filed under the name Apteryx haastii (Great spotted kiwi). RNAcentral's name for it is "lncRNA (ENSAHAG00000015069.1)". Lineage: Eukaryota; Metazoa; Chordata; Aves; Apterygiformes; Apterygidae. The record is from RNAcentral.